AUUCAGACAGGUACCACCUUCUAUUUUUAAUACAAGCCAAGAGACGCAAACGUUAAAGACCAGUGCUAUCUCAAAUCCCCGGGUGUGAAUACUUCGUCUGUCACGACUGUCCCUGGGAAUCCACAGGAGGUGAACUGAAUAAGAUUAGACUAUUUACCCCAUCAACUCUCCAUCAAAGAAGGAUUUAAAACGGCACCUGAGAAUGAUUUGAAACGUAUUUACAGCGAAAGACUUGUAUAAGCGUUAAAAAAAAAAAUGCCAAAACUAAAUUCUCGCUUUGUUGAUACUUCGCAAUGUGUUUAAUUAGCUGCAUCGGUUUUUGCUUCAAUUUAUCUGCCUAACCAUUUCUUUACGCCUUUGGCAUUUAGACCUGAACUUCGUGCAAGUUUUUCAAAUUUGAUGGAAAGUGAAACUAUUUGACAGAGGGUUCGGCGGGUUUUUGGUUAGAUUUGAGAAAAUUUUUUUCUGUUGAUAUUUUGAGAGUUUUGUUUAAUUUUUUUUUUUGUUUGUUUGAGGGUGGGCUCGGAGAGGGAGUUUCGGUUUGUCGGGGUUUUUUGGUCAGUAAUUCCCUGAGUGCAGCCGGUCACGCUGCAUGCAGAGCAGCGCCUGCUUAAUGCCGCCAUCGGGAUGCUCCUCCACGUCCUCGGCGGCUCUGCAGCAAUGCGCCGCAGCAUCCCUCGGGCGGCCUGCGGGGCUCGGGGUCCCGGGAGAGCCGGCAGCGGGGCACGGCCCGCUCUGCUCCGCAUCGACCCGUCAGGAGCAUCCCGGGGGCUCGGGGCGGCGGGGACAGCGCUCAGCCGGGACUGCCGCCCCUCGGGAAACAACCCGGGUGGUGUCCGCACCGCGGGACACGCGUGGGCACCGGAGGGGCCGCGGCGCUGGCGGAGCACACACGGCCCGGGCCGGACGGACGCUCGGCUUCCCCAAGAGUUUUCUGCUCCCCUGACGGAUGAUCCACCAUGCUAUAACGCCUACCUUUAUUCUUAAUUUGAAAAUUAUAUUUUCUAAAUAACUUGUUCCCCCAGUGAGGAAGGUCUCUUUUAUUUUGUUUUGUUUUGUAUUAGAGUCGUUUUGCCGUGAAACCCCCGGUUUUGAUACCCGCUUGGCAAAACCCGCUCUCGGAGUUUCUCAUUUCCCGUGCGCUCUUCGCUAACCUGGCAAACGGAAAAUUGUGUUAAACAAACAAUCAGUUGUCGCACAAUGUCGGGGUGAAAUUGUAAUAACAAAUGAAACACAAGCAAAUUGUGCUGCAUAGUGUUGCUAAGCAAUUGUUUGUUACGGGAGGGUGGUCACAGCAUGGGUUGAAAGAGGGAUCUAAAGAGGAGCAUAGCGCUGGGCAGAGCAAGCUGUUAGGCAUGAAAUACGGUAAACACCGCGCUGAUUUUCAAUAUUAUUACCCAAACACGAUUCCAUACAAAGCAAUCACCAUACACAAGUCUAUGAAAAUGCGCUUGGAGAAAACGGACAUAUUUUUUUCUUUUAUUUUAAUACAUUAAAGAACAAUUCCGGGGAUGCAAAACGCACCCACCGCCUUCCCGGCGGAGCCUUUGGCCGGCUGGAACGGUACCGGGGCUGCCGGCCGGGAGGGGCCCGGGGCACCCCAGCUCGGCCCGGCCCGGCCCGGCACGGCACCGCUCGGCACGGCACGGCUCGGCAAGGCCCAGGCUCGCCGUGCGCAGCGGGUCCGGCUGCGGCUCCCGCCCCACGCCAGGGGCAACGAGGGCUGAACCGGGGGCUUGGGGAUGAGCGGCAGCGAACGGGCGCUUCGCGGCACAUCUCUCACUUAGAAAUGCCAUCACCCUGCAGCGCUCACCCACGUUUGUUUCAAAUUGAUUGCAUCAUUGCUUCACCAGGAAAAAAAAAAGUAUAAAAGUCAUACAAUGCGAAAUUACCGUAAUUUGUUCCCAGAAUAAACUUAUCUUGAACUGAUUAGGAGAGUCA
Zonotrichia albicollis (white-throated sparrow) is the source of this 1941-nucleotide long non-coding RNA. NCBI's taxonomy places the organism in Eukaryota, Metazoa, Chordata, Aves, Passeriformes, Passerellidae. The record is from Ensembl.